AAGGGAGACCUAAUUCAGGUAGGAGACGAAAAAAAAGUAGUCCCUACCAAGAAUCAAUCCCAAAAGGUCGGAGCGAGGCAAAAUUGGCUUUCAAACUAGGUUCUGGGUUCACACAAGACCUGAAUCAGGAACAAGGGCUAUUAGCUCAGGUGGUUAGAGCGCACCCCUGAUAAGGGUGAGGUCCCUGGUUCGAGUCCAGGAUGGCCCACCUGUACAGGUGGCAAAAACAAAGAAAAGAAGCGAGGAAUCAGCACCUUAUCUUACUUAUAUAGUAAGAGAGAAUGCUGGCUCUGAGUUCAGAGUCCGGAGGAACCUUGAAAACUGCAUAGAGCUAGGUGAAAAAGCCAAAAAAGAAGACCACAA
RNAcentral lists this transfer RNA (363 nucleotides) under uncultured Microcystis sp. RNAcentral describes it as "partial miscellaneous RNA". The stretch from base 135 to 208 matches the Rfam family "tRNA". The record is from RNAcentral. Lineage: Bacteria; Bacillati; Cyanobacteriota; Cyanophyceae; Chroococcales; Microcystaceae.